AACACUUGCUUGCCAACUGCCAAGCCAUACUUAUUAAGUUCGAACAUGUUUCACUUAAGGAGAGACACCUAGCUUAGUCAUGGCAAGUUGCCAUUUUGUAAACUAAGGAUUUUGGAUUGAGAUUUCUUAAACCUUUCUUCAAAUCUCCCACAAAUAUAUACUUUUAAAUUAUGGAGUAUUUUAAGUCUACAAAAAGGUAUAAAUAAUAAUAUAAUGAAUUCAUAUAUACCUAAUACCCAGUUUAAGACACCAAAUAUAACAAGUAUAAUUACAUCCUCCAAUGUACCCUUUCCUUAUUCCACAGAUAUCUUUUUCAUUAUUGUGAAGUGAUGUUCAGAUUUCUAGUUUUUUUUCUAAUUUUUAUUUUUAACAUCAGAACUGAAAUAAAAAAUUAUGGAUACAUGUUUUGAAUUGCAAACUAUUCCUCAGGAAUUCCAAUUAAAUUUAUUUUACUUGAAUAGGAAUGAUCAUAAAAGUGAUUCUUUUUUUGUGACUAGAAAUUCUUAAGCCGAUGGUCACUAUAGCUCAUCCUUAAUGUAUGGCUCAUUUGCUUUUGUCACUAAACGGUUUUGUGUUAGAACCACCAAAAUUAUAGCUUUUAAGAGCUUCCUUUGACCACUGUCUUUUUCUUACCCUACUUCUCUUAUCUUUGAUCGUAUAUUUCUCAUAAUGUGAAAUAUGAUGAGAUUCACUUAGGGGCAGCAUGUUAGUUUUGGGAGGCAAUGUCAACUGUGUCUCUGAAUUCCUGUCUUCCAAAUUGAAGCCAGACCAUGCUGAUUACCUCAAGUAGCACUGACUAUUUGACAAUAGGGCUGAUAAUGUAAUCGGCUUGAAUUUUGACUUAGUAACUUUUUAUGUAAUAUUUUCAGAGAAAUUCUCUUUAGGACAAAGCAAAGAGUCCAAUUUAUUGAGGGAUAGAUUGUAUCUCUUAAAGUGGUCAUAUUAUUAUUAAUUUUGCCAAAAGAAGAAGAAUUUAUUGAAUAUUUAUACUAUAAAAUGCAGUAACAUUCUACUUGCUUAUUACAUUUAAUUCCUUGUGUAACUGAAUGUUUACAUGUCAAGAGGAAAAGCUGUAAGAAAAUGCUGUCACAGACCCAUCCCUGUGGCAUCGUCAGCAUUAUACUGCUUGCUUACAAUCUUUAUUAUGCAUUCUUAUAACAUAACCUCAGAGUAUCUUUACCAAAGGUUUUUAAAGUAAAUCUCUUUUUAAGAUAGACUUACUCUUUUAUAAUAAUGGAUGUGCACUCAUACAUAUGUAGAAAUAUUUAGAUUUAGAGGCUUUUUUUUUCUUUCACAAGGUAUAAUAAGGAAAGGAUCCUACAAUAUUUUAUUCUAGGGUUUCUUAAAUAUAUGAUUUAUGUUACUGUCUUUUCUACUAAUCAUUUGAUUUAAACAAUGCCAAGUCACUCUUUUUUAGUUGCAUGAAAUUUUGCCUGCAACAGAGAGAAAAAGAUUGUAUUACUUUAAUGAUUAUAAUCAUACUGUCUGCUGAUAUAAUAUCAUAAUUGUUGUGGUUUAAAUACAUAAAUAGUAGAAAAAUCAGAGUCUAUAACAGAAAGUUUGUAAAAAUAUACUGAUUUUGAAAAGUAUCAAGAAUAUCAAUAUUUGGUAAUUCUGUGUAACAAGAGAGACAUGGAAAAGGAAAAAAAUCCACUAUAUCAUGGGCUCUGCAGAACAUAUCAAAAUAGGAUUUCUUAAAUUUUUCAAUCCCCAGACCAUACUGACUCAACAUGGAGUCUCACUGGCAAAGAAAAUUGCCUUUAAAACUCAAAAAUAAGGCCAGGUGUGGUGACUCACACCUGUAAUCCCAGCAAUUUGGGAGGCUGAGAUAGGAGGAUUGCCUGAGGCCAGGAGUUUGACACCAGCCUGGGCAACAUAGUGAGACCUUGUCUCUAUAAAAAAAUAAAAUAAAAUAAAAACCAAAUUAGCCAGACAUGGUGGCAUGCGCUUGUUUAAAAAAAAAAAUAAAUAAAUAAUUGACUCAAAAAUAAGUCCUGUGUCCCAGCAUAAGGCGUCAGGUUGUUAGAUGCUGGCAUCUCUGCAGCUCAAAGAUGUGGGUUCUUUUUCUUGUCAUUAACACAUUGUUAUUUCUGUAGGAGCAACUUCUCUGAUCAAAAUUACUUUUCUGGGUAUGUGCUGAUUAAGGGGGUGGACUUAUCAACACUAUAAUUGUUCCCUAUGAAAGAUUCUGCAGAGAUGUUUAUGGUGAGGUUUAAAGGAUAUGAAACUCUACAUUUAAACGAGUAUUUUAUAUUUGGGUACAGAGGAAGAAAGAGAGGGCUUUUUCCAUGGGGCUAUAGUAGAGAGUUAGUGGAAUAUAGACAGGACUCUGAAAACACAACUUCCAACCGUUUUUAUAGUUAGUAAAAAUCCUAUUAAUGUGAACCAGCCAGGAAUAACAGUGUUAUUUCUAUUUGAUGUGGUUUGGGCUUCUCUUGUCAAAUCUGUGUCGGCUGCCCCCUGAUCCUUCCAUUAUCAAGUUUUGAAGGGUGUUGGGGAAAUUAUGGCAGCUGCUAGGGAGAUCAGGGAAACACUGAUGUAACCUCAAAGCCUCUCACCAUUGCUCUUGGCUUGGAAAUGCUUUAUUUUUUCAUAUACAUUUCUAGAAAUAUUGCUAUUCUACCUUAGUAUUUCACAUUUGUAGUUCAAACAAGCGAUUGUCCAUCUGUUGCCUAGAGCUAUAGUACAUGUGUGUUAUGAAUGAAAUAUGACAGCAUGUUCCAUACCCCUGCUUUAGCCAUCUGUGGGAAACCAGCAAACUGAAAAAGAUACCUCUGCAAAAUGUGCCUCAAGUCCAUUUCUUGGGAUCGCUCGUUUGGUGCACUCUCGUGGGAGACAAUCAGAGAACAACAUAUACUUGUGCCUUAUUUUCAAAGAAUCUGUUUACACUACUAGGAAUAUUCCACUGAAGAGUCAAUGAUGUAAAUGAUAACCACCAAAUCUCAAAAAUAUACUCACCAAAAAGUAAAAAAGUAAAAAAAAAAAAAAAAA
Long non-coding RNA from Pongo abelii (Sumatran orangutan), 2991 nucleotides. NCBI's taxonomy places the organism in Eukaryota, Metazoa, Chordata, Mammalia, Primates, Hominidae. The record is from Ensembl.